CCUACGGGUGGCAGCAGUGAGGAAUAUUGGUCAAUGGACGCAAGUCUGAACCAGCCAAGCCGCGUGCAGGAUGACGGCUCUAUGAGUUGUAAACUGCUUUUGUACGAGGGUAAAUCCCGAUACGUGUAUCGGGUUGAAAGUAUCGGACGAAUAAGGAUCGGCUAAUUCCGUGCCAGCAGCCGCGGUAAUACGGAGGAUGCGAGCGUUAUCCGGAUUUAUUGGGUUUAAAGGGUGCGUAGGCGGUUCGAUAAGUUAGAGGUGAAAUCCCGGGGCUCAACUCCGGCCCUGCCUCUGAUACUGGCGGGCUAGAGUUUGGUUGAGGUAGGCGGAAUGCAUGGUGUAGCGGUGAAAUGCAGAGAGAUCAUGCAGAACUCCGAUUGCGAAGGCAGCUUACC
This 395-nucleotide ribosomal RNA is filed under the name uncultured bacterium. Its description in RNAcentral is "partial 16S ribosomal RNA". It matches the Rfam family "Bacterial small subunit ribosomal RNA", at positions 338 to 730 of the family's 1533-position model. The record is from RNAcentral.